Molecule: ribosomal RNA, 406 nt
Filed under: uncultured bacterium
Lineage: Bacteria
Description: partial 16S ribosomal RNA
Rfam family: Bacterial small subunit ribosomal RNA
Source: RNAcentral
ACGAACGCUGGCGGCUGCUUAACACAUGCAAGUCGAACGGAGUGGCGAACGGGUGAGAAACGCGUGAGUAACCUGCCUAUGACAGUGGGAUAGCCUCGGGAAACCGGGAUUAAUACCGCAUAGUCUUAGUUGGGCUCGCGUCGGAGUAGCUGGUUGGGGAGAUAACAGCCCGUCAAGGCGACGAUCAGGAGCCGGUCUGAGAGGAUGCACGGACACAUUGGAGCUGAGACACGGGCCCAACUCCUACGGGUGGUAGCAGUGGGGAAUAUUGCACAAUGGGGGAAACCCUGAUGCAGCUACGCGGCGUGAACUAAGAAGGUAUUCGUAUCGUAAAGUUCUGUCCUAUGGGAAGCAGUACCAUAGAAGAAAGCUCCGGCUAAAUACGUGCCAGCAGCCGCGGUAAUUC